Molecule: long non-coding RNA, 245 nt
Filed under: Gossypium raimondii (Peruvian cotton)
Lineage: Eukaryota; Viridiplantae; Streptophyta; Magnoliopsida; Malvales; Malvaceae
Description: long non-coding RNA (GRAI_LNC008336)
Source: RNAcentral
CUAGACUUAGUUUCUCCACCAUGAGAGUGCUCGCCACAUUUGUGCAACUCCCGCCGUCGAUGAUGACGCUACAGAGUUUUCCUUGGACCUGACAACGAGUAUGGAAGAUGUUUUCUUGUUGUUACUCGUCUUUCACACUUUGAAUGCUUAGACUCCUUUUAACUACAAGGAGUUCUCCAUCAAGGGCAUGUUCUACUUCUUUUUCCUCGUCGAAUGACACUUCGGUUUCUUUUUCAAUUUCUUCC